RNAcentral lists this transfer RNA (95 nucleotides) under Collinsella aerofaciens. Its description in RNAcentral is "tRNA-Pro(cgg)". Lineage: Bacteria; Bacillati; Actinomycetota; Coriobacteriia; Coriobacteriales; Coriobacteriaceae. The record is from RNAcentral.
AAGGGUCCUAGGCGGGGGCUGCGCCCAACGAACGGAUUGACGUGACGUGCGAGGUGUGUCCUAGGCCCGGGGGUUCGAAUCCCCCGGCCCCCUCC